Molecule: ribosomal RNA, 449 nt
Filed under: uncultured bacterium
Lineage: Bacteria
Description: bacterial SSU rRNA
Rfam family: Bacterial small subunit ribosomal RNA
Source: RNAcentral
UGCCAGACUCCUACGGGAGGCAGCAGUGGGGAAUAUUGCACAAUGGGGGAAACCCUGAUGCAGCAACGCCGCGUGAGUGAAGAAGUAUUUCGGUAUGUAAAGCUCUAUCAGCAGGGAAGAAAAUGACGGUACCUGAGUAAGAAGCCCCGGCUAACUACGUGCCAGCAGCCGCGGUAAUACGUAGGGGGCAAGCGUUAUCCGGAUUUACUGGGUGUAAAGGGAGCGUAGACGGCGAUACAAGUCUGAAGUGAAAGCCCGGGGCUCAACCCCGGGACUGCUUUGGAAACUGUGUUGCUGGAGUGCUGGAGAGGCAAGCGGAAUUCCUAGUGUAGCGGUGAAAUGCGUAGAUAUUAGGAAGAACACCAGUGGCGAAGGCGGCUUGCUGGACAGUAACUGACGUUGAGGCUCGAAAGCGUGGGGAGCAAACAGGAUUAGAUACCCUGGUAAAU